AUUGAACGCUGGCGGCAGGCCUAACACAUGCAAGUCGAGCGGAUGAAGGGGACUUGCUCCUGGCUUCAGUGGCGGACGGGUGAGUAAUGCCUAGGAAUCUGACUGGCCGAGGGGGCUGACGUCACGACACGGGAGCUAAUACCGUAUACGUCGAGAGGGUGAAAGGGGUGGAUCUUAGGUCAUAAAGCUACCAGAUGAGACUAGGUCGGAUUAGCUAGUUGGUGAGGUAAAGGCCUACCAAGGCGACGAUCCGUAGCCGGUCUGAGAGGCUGAUCAGUCACACUGGAACUGAGACACGGUCCAGACUCCUACGGGAGGCAGCAGUGGGGAAUAUUGGACAAUGGGCGAAAGCCUGAUGCAGCCAUGCCGCGUGUGUGAAGAAGGUCUUCGGAUCGUAAAGCACUGUUAUUUGGGAGGAAGAGCAGUAAGAUUAUACCUGGCUAUUUUGACGUUACCAACAGAAUAAGCACCGGCUAACUUCGUG
Molecule: ribosomal RNA, 484 nt
Filed under: uncultured bacterium
Lineage: Bacteria
Description: partial 16S ribosomal RNA
Rfam family: Bacterial small subunit ribosomal RNA
Source: RNAcentral